GACGAACGCUGGCGGCGUGCUUAACACAUGCAAGUCGAACGGAAAGGCCCUGCUUGCAGGGUACUCGAGUGGCGAACGGGUGAGUAACACGUGGGUGAUCUGCCCUGCACUUCGGGAUAAGCCUGGGAAACUGGGUCUAAUACCGGAUAGGAGCCAUUUUUAGUGUGAUGGUUGGAAAGUUUUUUCGGUGUAGGAAGAGCUCGCGGCCUAUCAGCUUGUUGGUGGGGUAAUGGCCUACCAAGGCGGCGACGGGUAGCCGGCCUGAGAGGGUGGACGGCCACAUUGGGACUGAGAUACGGCCCAGACUCCUACGGGAGGCAGCAGUGGGGAAUAUUGCACAAUGGGCGCAAGCCUGAUGCAGCGACGCCGCGUGGGGGAUGACGGCCUUCGGGUUGUAAACUCCUUUCGCUAGGGACGAAGCUUUUUGUGACGGUACCUAGAUAAGAAGCACCGGCUAACUACGUG
RNAcentral lists this ribosomal RNA (465 nucleotides) under uncultured bacterium. RNAcentral's name for it is "partial 16S ribosomal RNA". It matches the Rfam family "Bacterial small subunit ribosomal RNA", at positions 28 to 507 of the family's 1533-position model. The record is from RNAcentral.